GCGACGAAUCUUCCGCAAUGGGCGCAAGCCUGACGGAGCGACGCCGCGUGUGGGAUGAAGCGCCUUCGGCGUGUAAACCACUGUCAGGGGGCAGAACCAACGAUCGCCCCCAGAGGAAGAGACGACUAACUCUGUGCCAGCAGUCGCGGUAAUACAGAGGUCUCGAGCGUUAAUCGGAAUCACUGGGCUUAAAGGGUGCGUAGGCGGGCCCACAAGCAUCUCGUGAAAUCCCCCGGCUCAACCGGGGAAUGGCGGGGUGGACUGUGGGUCUUGAGGCAUGUAGGGGCGGGCGGAACUGUAGGUGGAGCGGUGAAAUGCGUAGAUAUCUACAGGAACGCCGAUGGUGAAGACGGCCCGCUGGGCAUGUCCUGACGCUGAGGCACGAAAGCGUGGGGAGCAAACAGGAUUAGAAACCCCAGUAGUCC
Molecule: ribosomal RNA, 425 nt
Filed under: uncultured bacterium
Lineage: Bacteria
Description: bacterial SSU rRNA
Rfam family: Bacterial small subunit ribosomal RNA
Source: RNAcentral